Pocillopora damicornis (cauliflower coral) is the source of this 649-nucleotide long non-coding RNA. The record is from RefSeq and is a predicted model, not a curated record. NCBI's taxonomy places the organism in Eukaryota, Metazoa, Cnidaria, Anthozoa, Scleractinia, Pocilloporidae.
AAUUGUUAGGUUUCAGUCAGCCAAAUUAUAGUGGAAAGGUCACUACUGGUUGGCCUUGCUCUCUUUUCUAAGUACAUGAAUAACAAAUCAAAGAAUAUCUAUGGCCAACUUUUGGAUAAGGUAACGUGGAAAUGAAGCAUGUUUGUCGAUAUGCUAUUAGUGGUCCUGUAGCAGAGCUUUGCUUGCUUGUGAUACUUGACAAAUAUAACGCUAAUGUCAAGAUUACAGAGGCUCCACCCAAUCACCAGAUAUUUUUUUGUUCCGAAAAGUGGCAGGUCGAUGGCUUGAUUUCCGGCAGGGGGUGUGUUCAAAGGUCUUACAAAAUUACCGAAAAGGAAGUCCUAAGUUAUGCGGUAUUGGCAAGGUCAUCAAAGCAAACCUCUUGAGUCUUAAGAUUCAGAAGAAUAUGCAGACGUCAGAAGAGCUGUCACCAUUGCACCACAAAGACACGGGAGGAACAUUUGUCUAUUCUAGUUGGGCACAGCUUUCCGAAGAAAAUGGCACAGGAAUCCGUCAAGUUGAUAUUCUUUGAACUUGAAAACUACGGUGGAAAGUGCGUGGUAUGGCCUUAGCAAUUUAAAUGCUUUUUUUUUCGUUAUCAGCUGUUUAAAUUUUAACCUUUAGAAAAUGAUCCUUGUGGUAAUAUUUA